This is a small nuclear RNA of Pongo abelii (Sumatran orangutan), 59 nucleotides long. Its record names the gene U7. It matches the Rfam family "U7 small nuclear RNA". From Rfam's summary of the family: Animal histone pre-mRNAs are spliced by a different mechanism than nuclear pre-mRNAs and self-splicing introns. This processing involves the U7 snRNP, which contains only one RNA species: U7. The record is from Ensembl. NCBI's taxonomy places the organism in Eukaryota, Metazoa, Chordata, Mammalia, Primates, Hominidae.
AUGUGUUACAGCUCUUUUAGAAUUUGUCUAGCAGGUUUUCUGGUGAAAAUUGAACUCAA